Contarinia nasturtii (swede midge) is the source of this 3142-nucleotide long non-coding RNA. RefSeq lists it as uncharacterized. The record is from RefSeq and is a predicted model, not a curated record. The transcript has 2 exons. NCBI's taxonomy places the organism in Eukaryota, Metazoa, Arthropoda, Insecta, Diptera, Cecidomyiidae.
GUGUUAAUUUUUCGACCGAUUCCAAUACUUUACCUUACACACUAGAUGUGUGCGGAAAAGUAAAAAUUAAAUAAAAAAGGAAAUCUAACCCGAUUUUUGCCAAAAUGUCAGCAAUAGAUUUGGCGUGGUAGUCUUCGAUGGUUGUGCUGUAAUUUGCACAUUAAUUGAUUGAACGUUGACACCUUCAAAUAAUAAAUCAUUCGAUUGGUAUGGUAGAAGAGUGUUUUUGUACUUUAAACAUAUCGAAUUUAUGAAUGCAUGCCAACGAUAGAAAAUUGGAUCUCUCAUCGCCUAAAAUAUUCAAAAUGGAACAGGAAUGAGAUGAAAUUUAUAUAGUUUGCCAAAGCAAAACAAAAAUCUGAUUAAAAGCAGUUGGCCGGGUUUAUGUGAAGAAAAGAAUAAAAUAUGGAAAGUUAAAUGGAUAUUUUAUAUAAAUAUGAGAACAUUUUAUGUGUAAAAAUAAUUUGGCAAUAUUACCGUUGUUACAUCAGCCAUAACGCCAUAAUCUUCUAAAUGACGGCCAUCAGGAUCGUGUACAAAUGCGAUUAUCUAUCAUAUUAAUCGAAUUACAUUAAUUUCAUUACAUAAAUUGAUUGAUAAAAUUCAAAAAUAUUUUUACACAUUACAUUGUGUCCAACAUUAUGUAAAUUUCCAUAGAGUUGUCGAUUUGGAGAAAUUGCACUAGCUUCAAGAAUAUUGCCCAACAAAUCGAUGCCAUUCAUUUCGUCAAGUCGAAUUUGCUUAUUUGUCCCUUGUUCAACAACAUAACCUUGAUCGAUAGCUUGAUGAAUACGAUCGCGCCACCGUUCCAAAUCGGCUAUUUCGACAAUAUUAUCAUCUCGAUUUAAGUCUUGCAGCUAAACAAAAUAAUCCAGAGGAACAUAAUCCAUGAGCAAUCAUUAUUAAAAAACUUCCACUUAUCCCUGAAACAAACCAUUGCAUUAUCGUGGCGAGCUGGAUAUGCUCGAUUGUUCAAACCCCGCACAAUUUUAGGGAAGUAACCUUCAGGUACGCGUUCACGUAAAUUAUUCAACGGUUUGACUCGUUCCAAGCGAUUACAAAAGCGAUCAUUGUUAUACCGUGCAAUAAGCUAUUUUAAAAUGUUAUAUUUCGAUAUUAGUUUCAACUGAAUUGAAGGAAGAGUUUAUAGGAAUUAUCUGUAAUAUUUACUUGACUGUGCAUAUAAUAGAAUAGUUCGCCACGACGAUCUUUUGAAACUAUUUUUAUUGGCCCCUCGCCCGGAUAAACUAAAUGCCAAUGCCAAUGGUGCAUAUUAACCCCGAUAUCUUCGCGAAAAUAGGCAAUCCGUUGCUCUUGUUCGCGAUCCGAUGCUGUAAAAUUCAUUUGAAUUUCGACCGGCAUACGGUCCUCGGCACGGACGAGCGACCCUUCUUCGCGGGCCCGUGGAAACGCGGAUGAAUCUAUAAAUUGAUCUGGAAAUUGUUGAACAAUCGAUGGCAAUGCAAUAUGUUGCGUUUCUCGUCGAUGUUGCACACUCGUCGCAAGUGCAUACUUCACCAUAAUGAAAUAGCAUAAAAAGCAUUAAAAAAUAUUUAAGAAAAUUGCACAAAUUAUUUAUUUAGUUACCAAAAACAAAUAUGGAUUAACGCGAUCCUUUAUGUAGGCAGCUGUUGAAAUGAAAUCCGAAGCACUUGCAUCCAUUAGUAUUUGUAUCAAAUUCCCAGCAAUUUGUUGAUGCGUUUUAUUGAAAAGAGAAAAAACGCCAGUGCGUUUAAUCGAUUUAGUGAACUCAAGAUCAGGGUGUUGAACUUGAUGCAAAGGUAUUGUUCGCUCAACAUUUUCUCCAAUACGUGAACUGACAUUUACACCAAUCGACUUAUAACGUUCCGUAUAGAAAUCCAAUGGCACAUCGAAUGCCAUUUUACCGCCAUCUUUUGCAGUGAACAACGGCUCGUUUGGCCGCUGAAACAACAAAUUUAUACCAUUUUCAAGUCCACUUUUAUUUUCCGCCAUUUCGAAAAGUUUCAGAACGUUUUCUUUAAUUCAACGACAACUCAGUUCAACUCAACUAUUACUGCUUGAACAAUAAUGAGUGCGCUUUAUAUACACAAGCGCUAUUGGUUUUUUUUUAUCAACAUAUUUAUUUCAACCGCAACUCAUGCAUACGCUAACAAGAGUUUUAAAGGAAAAGCGGUCAUUUCCGUUUUUUUUUUUGCAAAUUGUGGCACGCGCUCGGCUAUCGUUUUAAUUAUUACAUUGAAAAAAUGGCAUUUCGGAUUUUUCAAAUGUGGUUUUUAAUGAUGGUUAACAAAAACUGAGAGAAUAUUGUAGUUCUUUUUUAUAAAUUUGAAACGAAUUCAAAACAUUGAAUUGGCAUUAUCAACUAAUUAAUUUUAUUAUUGAUACAUUUAUUAUUUGGCAUGUACGUUAUUGACUGAAAGUCUAUCUUUUUUUGAGUUAUAUGAUUCAUUGAAUGAAUUUCAAUUAUUUAUUUAAACUUUCAACGUAUUCCUCCUAAUAGAUUUAAUUUAUAAAACUUUAAAUAGUCCACAAAAUACAGAAAAAAACCGGUACAGCUGUAUUUUUUUUAUUUGGGAUUGCCAUUAUAAUUUGGUCUUCCAGUUCCGGAUGGGCCACCGAAAUGACGAUUGUAGCCUGUAUCGAGUGAUGUGCGUCCGUUUUGACUUCCCCAUAUAUUGGCAUUUCCAGAAACACCAACAUCAGUUCCAAAACGAUGUACAAUGUACAUUAGGGCUCUCAAUUAGCGUUACAAUUAAAAGUUCCAACCUAUUACGAUGGAGAACACAGUGGUGCUUUUGAAGAACAUUCACUGCAAAGACGUCAUUCAAGCAAGGGCCAACACUAUCCUACUUUCAACAGAUGGCGUCAUCCAUCAGAAGUCCAAGCCAACUGCUUCUAUUUAUUUUUAAGAAAGUUAAGAAAUAAUACAUUUUCUAGCCAGAAUGAGAUAAACAAUUAUUUAAAAAAAAGCUCUCUUAUUCUAAUUCUCAUGAUUUUAAAAAUAACUCAAAUUAUUUCCCGCUCUUUUUAAUGGGAUGGAUCUCUUCAUAAUGAAAUAAAGUAUGAAAGCUUCUUCUUUGCUCUUUGUUAUUUGUCAUCAUUAUAUUCAUACAUAACUAUAUCAAAAAAAUAUAUAGCGUAAUUCAUUUUUAAUUUUGAA